UUUUCUCCUCCUUUAGACGAGUUGUUUGGAAAAAGAAAAGUAUGGUGUUCUCAACAAAAUAAUAGAAGGAAAUGUGCGUUUAGGAAGACUGGAAGAGAAAGUAAAGCUUCAGGGUCUUUGAAAUGUAAGGAACUUCUGAGCUGUAACGAACCUCUGAUUUUGUCAGUUUAUGAGAACCCAGGAAAAAACAGAACAGAAAAUCCUGGCUACAUUAAUAAAGCAUUAAAAAUGUUUCCUUUAGUACUCCAUAGUUUUAAGCUUUGGCUAAAAUCAGAACAGUAAAUAAAGAGCAACACUCAGAAACAAUGGAAUUUAUAUUAA
Molecule: non-coding RNA, 321 nt
Organism: Anolis sagrei ordinatus
Lineage: Eukaryota; Metazoa; Chordata; Lepidosauria; Squamata; Anolidae
Source: RefSeq, a predicted model, not a curated record